CCCUAAAUAGUGUGAUAGCUCAUU
Molecule: microRNA, 24 nt
Filed under: Ananas comosus (pineapple)
Lineage: Eukaryota; Viridiplantae; Streptophyta; Magnoliopsida; Poales; Bromeliaceae
Description: microRNA s0149_c063
Source: RNAcentral